UAAAUACUUUAAAAUUAAAAAAUUUGGCGGUGAUUUAAUCUUAUUAGAGGAAUUUGUUUCUUAAUCGAUAAACCACGAAGAAUUUUACUUACUUUUGUUAAUCAGUCUGUAUACCGUCAUUACCAGGUAAUUCUCAAAGGAUAAAAUUUCUGAAAUUAAUUCUUUAGUAAAAUUAGAUCAAGGUGCAGCUUAUAAGUAAGUUGAAAUGAAUUACAAUAAAUUAUUUUAAACGGAAUUAGAAAUGAAAUUUUCUGAUGAAGGAGGAUUUAAUUGUAUUAUAAGUUUAAUAAGCUAAUGAGAAAUAAGCUCUAAAUUGUGUACAUAUCGCCCGUCGCUUCCUUUUAUAGAGGGAAUAAGUCGUAACAUAGUAGAUAUACUGGAAAGUGUAUCUAGAAAUAAU
This 400-nucleotide ribosomal RNA is filed under the name Ilyoplax deschampsi. RNAcentral describes it as "partial 12S ribosomal RNA". It matches the Rfam family "Microsporidia small subunit ribosomal RNA", at positions 764 to 1311 of the family's 1311-position model. Lineage: Eukaryota; Metazoa; Arthropoda; Malacostraca; Decapoda; Dotillidae. The record is from RNAcentral.